CCUCGGUGACAUUUCGCCGCGAUUCGCCGAAACGGCUUUGCGAUGGUUGUGUGAGUGCAAAGUGUCAAAAACCACGUCACGACGGUGAAGGACGGUUAAUUUUGGACUUGUCGCAUCAAGUUCGUCCGUUUCUUGCGUAAAAUUGGUUCCCUUUUUAUGGUCCUUCACCCAAAAUCCUCUUCCCAAGCCGUAGCAGAUUCUUCAACGCAAGCCCUCUCCCACUGUGGGCAGCAAAAGCAGCCGGAACUUUUGCUGCUUUUUAGGAGACUUCGUUGACGAGUUGCCCCAAGUACGCCCCAGUACGACGCCAAGGCCGUCGGCAACCGGCGAAGGAACCUUCAGGAAACUACCUCCAGUUGAUUUAGAAUCGGCGAGUGUCCGGUUGCUGGUGGCGGCCGCUGCCUAUCAAGAAGAAGCGUUGGAUCGCCAGCAC
This is a long non-coding RNA of Culex quinquefasciatus (southern house mosquito), 433 nucleotides long. RefSeq lists it as uncharacterized. The transcript is spliced from 3 exons. The record is from RefSeq and is a predicted model, not a curated record. NCBI's taxonomy places the organism in Eukaryota, Metazoa, Arthropoda, Insecta, Diptera, Culicidae.